UUAUGAUAAUGACAUUGUCUAUUCAUAAGUCUUGACCAAAUUACGUGCCAGCAGUCGCGGUAACACGUAGCAGACGAGUGUUAUUCAUCUUCAAUAGGUUUAUGGGGUACUUAGACGGUAAAUCAAGCCUCAAAAAGGGACUAGUUUGCUAGAGUUUUAUGUGAGGAAGUAUUAAGGUACUGGUGGUGUAGAGAUGAAAUUCGAUGAUACCUUGAAUGGCACAGGUAUAGGCGAAAGCAUCUUCUUAUGUAAUAACUGACGUUAAAAGACGAAGGCUUUGUGUCUCGAACAGGAUUAGAUACCCUAGUAGUCAAAGCAGACAAUGAUGAAUGUCAUAGAUUGGAUUUAAAUUUAUUUAAUCUAUAAAUGAAAGUGUAAGCAUUCCACCUUAAGAGUAAUUUGGCAACAUUGGAACUGAAAUCAUUAGACCGUUUCUGAGACCAGUAGUGAAGUAUGUUGUUUAAUUUGAUGAUCCGCAAAAAACCUUACCACAACAUGAAUAGAUAAUUUUUAUCAUACAAGCGUUGCACGGCUGUCUUUAGUUAA
This 546-nucleotide ribosomal RNA is filed under the name Megalospora tuberculosa. RNAcentral's name for it is "mitochondrial SSU rRNA". It matches the Rfam family "Bacterial small subunit ribosomal RNA", at positions 461 to 1062 of the family's 1533-position model. Lineage: Eukaryota; Fungi; Ascomycota; Lecanoromycetes; Teloschistales; Megalosporaceae. The record is from RNAcentral.